UACGGGGGGGGCAAGCGUUGUUCGGAAUUACUGGGCGUAAAGGGCUCGUAGGUGGCCAACUAAGUCAGACGUGAAAUCCCUCGGCUUAACCGGGGAACUGCGUCUGAUACUGGAUGGCUUGAGUUCGGGAGAGGGAUGCGGAAUUCCAGGUGUAGCGGUGAAAUGCGUAGAUAUCAAGAGGAACACCUGAGGUGAAGACGGGUUGCUAGGCUGACACUGACGCUGAGGCGCGAAAGCCAGGGGAGCAAACGGG
Molecule: ribosomal RNA, 253 nt
Filed under: uncultured bacterium
Lineage: Bacteria
Description: partial 16S ribosomal RNA
Rfam family: Bacterial small subunit ribosomal RNA
Source: RNAcentral